UGCCCCCUGGCCCAGUUGGUUAAGGCGCACGACUGUUAUUCCGGGCCCAGCGUUUGGAGCUUCGGCAGUAAAAAUCCAUCAUUGGCCAUCGUGAGAUCGAGAGUUCGAGCCUCUCGGGGGCAG
Non-coding RNA from Mycena vulgaris, 123 nucleotides. NCBI's taxonomy places the organism in Eukaryota, Fungi, Basidiomycota, Agaricomycetes, Agaricales, Mycenaceae. The record is from the annotation of a GenBank genome assembly.